RNAcentral lists this long non-coding RNA (3423 nucleotides) under Panax ginseng (ginseng). Its description in RNAcentral is "long non-coding RNA (PGIN_LNC009649)". The record is from RNAcentral. Lineage: Eukaryota; Viridiplantae; Streptophyta; Magnoliopsida; Apiales; Araliaceae.
UUUGCUAUGUGAACUUGGUGAUUAACUGUUUUAAAUCUUUAUUGCAAAGAGCAUGAUGUGUUAUAUAUAUGUUGAAAGUAUGAAAUGUUAAAGUCAAUUUAUAACUACGUUGAUUGAGUAAAACAUGUUGGUUGAGUAAGGAACUCAAUCUUUAUACUUGUUAUAUGAACUGUAGCAUGUAUGUUAUGUUCGUCCAAUAUUUAUGAGAUAUAUGUUGAGCAUGUUAUUAUUUGUUAUUUGAUGCAUGAAAACUGUUAGCUUUUGCUGGGCUGUCGAGCUCAACCUUGUAAAUAACCACUUUUACAGGUUAAAGAUUCAAAGUAAAGUUAUUAUUAUUUGGACCAUGUUUAGGGUUCCGAAUAAUGUAUGAUAUUUAAUAGAUGUUGAGUUAUAAAGUUUAAGUUUUGUUUGUUGUAUGAAAGGGUAUUGAACCUGAAUGUAAGUUUUAUUUAUUAACUCUGAUAAGGUGAGUAAUACGCUAAGUAUGGUUUAAAGGUAGGUAAAGAUAAAGGUUUUGAGAUAUGUACUUGAUAAGUUACAAUGAUUAUGUAAUGAUAAACUGUCAAGUUUGAGUUAUCUGAUAUGUAAAGGUUAUCGGAUUAAAAUGUAAAAUUCUAUAUAAUAACUUUGAUGAAACGAAUCAUAAAAUAACUUGAUUCAAAAACAUGUAGAUGAUAAAGGUAUUGAUUCAGGGAAUUAAAGUAAUAAGAUAGAAAAGUUUAAAUUAUUCCGCAUUUUAUUAAAUUUGGCAUCAAAUAAUGAUGUAAAAUCAGAAUUUAGACGUGUUAUUAACGACCGAAGUCGAUAAUUGAAUUGUAUGAAUUUUGGGGUCAUUACACCCCCUCUAAGGAAACUAUUGAAGCGACUAAUUGAUUUGUUUUGCAACUUUAUUUAUUUUAUCAACAAAGAUCACACCAUGUCUGGAAAAUUGCUUCUUACUUAAAUAACAGCAUACUCAUGAGUAAGUGCGAAUAUAUAACUUAGUUACUAAAUGAUUUGCCUGGAAAUGAGAGCCUUCUGAGAAAAUAGAGUUAGCAACAUAAUAAAAGAAAAUGUGUAACCACUAUACUAGUUUAUCAUGCACAAAAGAGGACGCCAACAAAACUAAUGGCGUUGCCAAACACAAGAAAUGAGGUAAAAUUUAUUCUUAGUAAAUAUAAAACUAAACAUCUAGUGGAAAAGGAUCAUUCAUGAAGUAACAAAAAUAGAAAUCUAUAUCAUUCCAAUGUGUAUAAUUUUGUCAAAUACUCCACGGCCAUGUGUCUUGCAUUGCAUGAAGGAUGGGAAUGUAAAGGAAAAGAGAACAAGAAAGGGAUAAGGAGCAAAAAAGCAAAAGAUGAGAAGGUCUAAUAAUUUUUCCCUUGGUUCAUGUUGGAAUAGAAAAUGGAGGUAACUCAAUAAUUUUUCUCAUCUUUUUCUUCUCUUUUAUUUUAGGACUUUUAGAAAUCAAAGAGGAAUGGUAAAGAAGUGGAGAAAGCAUAGCAACAAUGGUAUGGAAGAGAAAUUUUGUUAAACAAAUUGUUCUUAUUUUCUUGGUUAGCCAAAUAAAAAGAUCAGUAUAUUAAUUUUAAAAGAAAACCCCUUUACUUCCCCACCCUUCUCUCCUCCCAAGCACAACCUAAGGUCACACAAAACAAAACAUUCUUCUCAGUAUAGUAAGGUCUCAUCAGCCAAUAUUUCACACUAAUGACACGAAUAACACAUAUUUCAACCAAAUUGCAGGUUCUACAAAAAUCUAGAUGAAAAAUACAUUCAUGAGCCUACUAUAAUUCAUGCCUACUUUUCUAGUUUAGCUGAAAGUUUGAUAUAUUAUAUGAAAAGUACCUUCACAAUAUAUGAUUCUAUAUCCACUAUUUUUCAACCUUCAGACUCUUAGUAGAGCUUGAAAGAAAUAAUGAUCCUUGCAAGUGUUCUAAUGUAAAUGUCCUUUCAGCUGCUAGGGUCAACUUCAUCCAAGAUUACAUUUCAAAAUAUAUAUGUUAUAUACCAAUCUGCAUGGACUAUCAUUUAAUCAUGUCUAAUGUUCAAGGAGAGGAUUAACUAUUAGGAAAACAGUGCUCUUAUAAAAGGAAUUUCAAAUUCUGUCAUACACACUUACAACUCAUAAAUAUUCUUAAUUCAAGAGUUCAACAAUAAAAACAUGCCUGUUUUUGGCUCAUUUUUGUACAAUAUUGCAACCAUAGACCAAGGAAAUGUAUAUUCAUUUUAGUGGCUAAUGUACACACAAUUUUAUUUUAUUUUUUAUAAUAUGUAAUUUGGAACCAAGUAGGGGAAACCUUGAGGCAAACUCAUGCCCUACAUAUUACAAUGCUCAUUCUAAUGAUUGAAACAAUAAAUUCUUAAAACAUAUUGAACCCUUUCUUUUGGAUGUGAUAUACCAGUCCCUUUCAGUUAAAGCAAUCAAAUCUUUCAUUUUCUGAAUUCAAAUCAAAUAAACAUUUUAGCUAAGAUAUAAACAUAUAACAACCCAUACAAUUGUAACUUAAAAGUUAAAGUAGACACUUUUUCGCAGGAGGAGGGGGUCAUGAACUAAUGCAAAAGCCAUAGAAUCACUGAAUGAAAAUAAAUUGACAGACAAAAACUCUUAAAUAAUGUGUGCACUUACAAGAACACCCAAACCCCACGACUUGGCAGUAGCAAUAACAGUUUGGGAAAGACUGUUCAUUCCUCGGCCAUCCUCCCCAUCCCCCAAGGAAAUAAGCACUCAAAAGCCAUCCUUCCAAAGCCCAAACAUCCCAAAUUCACAAUUACUAAAACACUCUCCUAUUUAGCAUCACAAUAAAACAAAUUAAAUCAACUGAAAACAAAAAAGGAAUAAUACCCACAUACCAGAAGUAUCUUGGGACGAAAUCUAAAACUCCUCUACCUCCUUUUCACCGCCACUUUCUCCCUCCCCCUUCUCGUUCUCCUCCGUCCGUCACUCCAUCAAUUGGAGGGGAAUAGAAGGAAUUGAUUUUGAAUCAAUCACUAAACGCCUCUUUAAUUUUAGGUUUCUAAAGUCAAAUCCGCAAAUUUUUUAUCGACUGGACUUGGAAAAAACAUGUUAAAAGAUUACAACAUAGAUUAAGAUCCAAAAUUGCAAAAUAAAAAGUGCAUAAUCGUACAAUUUCAUCACUUAAAUUGACUAAUCAGAGCAAAUUAGACACAGAUCGUAACAUAACUUUUCACUUUCUCUCUGUAGAUUCUCUUUCUAGGUUGAAACGGCUGAAAGUGAGAAAGACUAUGAGGGAGAAGGUGGUGGAGAUAAAGAGAUUGUGACAGAGCAAUUACAUGGUAGGAGUAUCGAUUGGAAUAGCAGUGAGAGCAACUUCUAUUUUGGACGCCAUGGAAGGGUUGGCUUGAGUUGGGUUGGGUUGGAGACAAAAGUAUAUUAGGAGAAAGAACGGGGAAAGGUUGGAUUUGGAGUAUUUUUUCAGAAUUGCC